GACGAACGCUGGCGGCGUGCUUAACACAUGCAAGUCGAACGGAAAGGCCCUGCUCUUGCGGGGUGCUCGAGUGGCGAACGGGUGAGUAACACGUGAGUAAACUGCCCUUGACUGUGGGAUAACUCCAGGAAACUGGGGCUAAUACCGGAUAGGAGCUACUGCUGCACGGUGGGGGUUGGAAAGUUUCGGCGGUGGGGGAUGGACUCGCGGCUUAUCAGCUUGUUGGUGGGGUAGUGGCUUACCAAGGCUUUGACGGGUAGCCGGCCUGAGAGGGUGACCGGCCACAUUGGGACUGAGGUACGGCCCAGACUCCUACGGGAGGCAGCAGUGGGGAAUAUUGCACAAUGGGCGGAAGCCUGAUGCAGCAACGCCGCGUGCGUGAUGACGGCCUUCGGGUUGUAAACCGCUUUCGCCUGUGACGAAGCGUGAGUGACGGUAAUGGGUAAAGAAGCACCGGCUAACUACGUG
This 468-nucleotide ribosomal RNA is filed under the name uncultured bacterium. Its description in RNAcentral is "partial 16S ribosomal RNA". It matches the Rfam family "Bacterial small subunit ribosomal RNA", at positions 28 to 507 of the family's 1533-position model. The record is from RNAcentral.